RNAcentral lists this transfer RNA (63 nucleotides) under Gibbosaverruca weijiai. RNAcentral's name for it is "tRNA-His". The record is from RNAcentral. Lineage: Eukaryota; Metazoa; Arthropoda; Thecostraca; Verrucomorpha; Verrucidae.
GUUCAAAUAGUUUAAAAAAAAUAUAGGUCUGUGAUUCCUAAAUUGUACGGUGUGCUUUGAACA